CUGGCAGGACUGGCAGACUGGCAGUUCGUCGUGCGCCUCGAAUGUGGUUGCUUCGUUAGUAUCUGCGUGAGAUAAUCUGCUGUUGGAAUACCAGAAGUUCUUGUGUGGUGAAAUUCGUAUAAGUGGUGAAAUUGCGACAGAACUUCCAGCAGAAGAGCUCCCGGUAGUGCUAUGCUCCAAGUGGCGUUUGAAUGUGUGCAAGAAGAAAACGUGAGGGGAAUCAGCAGAAUGGUGUCAGUACCUCUCAACACAUAGCCUGCAGGAAAUGAGUGCAGACACGGCAUGAUUCUUCAGCUGUACUACCUUUCAAAAUGCCACGCACAUGGAUCCAUGAUUUGUCCAAGCAGCAGCUGGAGAGUUUAGCAAGUCAACUAGGUGUAUCGACGGAACGAACGC
Cryptotermes secundus is the source of this 396-nucleotide long non-coding RNA. RefSeq lists it as uncharacterized. The record is from RefSeq and is a predicted model, not a curated record. The transcript is spliced from 3 exons. NCBI's taxonomy places the organism in Eukaryota, Metazoa, Arthropoda, Insecta, Blattodea, Kalotermitidae.